This is a ribosomal RNA of Sinocyclocheilus anshuiensis, 117 nucleotides long. The record is from Ensembl. NCBI's taxonomy places the organism in Eukaryota, Metazoa, Chordata, Actinopteri, Cypriniformes, Cyprinidae.
AACAGCCAGCCAUAUCACCCUGUAGGCCAAGACUGGUUGCCCACUGAAGCUGAGCAGGGUUGAGCUGGUCAGUUCCUGGAUGGGAGACCUCCUGGGUAAACUAGGUUGCUGCUGGAA